This 352-nucleotide ribosomal RNA is filed under the name uncultured Anaerolineaceae bacterium. Its description in RNAcentral is "bacterial SSU rRNA". It matches the Rfam family "Bacterial small subunit ribosomal RNA", at positions 1017 to 1382 of the family's 1533-position model. Lineage: Bacteria; Bacillati; Chloroflexota; Anaerolineae; Anaerolineales; Anaerolineaceae. The record is from RNAcentral.
CCUUCGGGGAGCUUGUACAGGUGCUGCAUGGCUGUCGUCAGCUCGUGUCGUGAGAUGUUCGGUUAAGUCCGCUAACGAGCGCAACCCUCGCUGUGUGUUACAAGUGUCACACGGAACUGCCGGUCAUAAACCGGAGGAAGGUGGGGAUGACGUCAAGUCAGCAUGGCCUUUAUAUCCUGGGCUACACACACGCUACAAUGGGAAGGGACAAUAGGUUGCGAAGCCGCGAGGCGGAGCCAAUCCAGCAAAACUUCCCUCAGUUCAGAUUGCAGGCUGCAACUCGCCUGCAUGAAGUUGGAGUUGCUAGUAAACGCAGGUCAGCCAUACUGCGUUGAAUACGUUCCCGGGGCUU